UACGGCGGGUGCGAGCGUUAAUCGGAAUUACUGGGCGUAGAGCGCACGUAGGCGGUCGGAUAAGUCGGAUGUGAAAGCCCCGGGCUUAACCUGGGAACUGCAUUCGAUACUGUCUGGCUAGAGUAUGAGAGAGGGAAGCAGAAUUUCCGGUGAAGCGGUGAAAUGCGUAGAUAUCUGAAGGAAUACCAAUGGCGAAGGCAGCUUCCUGGCCCAAUACUGACGCUCAGGUGCGAAAGCGUGGGGAUCAAACAGG
Molecule: ribosomal RNA, 253 nt
Filed under: uncultured bacterium
Lineage: Bacteria
Description: partial 16S ribosomal RNA
Rfam family: Bacterial small subunit ribosomal RNA
Source: RNAcentral